AGCAGUGUGGCUCAGUGGGAAGAGCACAUGCUUUGGAGUCAGAGGUCAUAGGUUCGAAUCCCAGCUCUGCCA
RNAcentral lists this transfer RNA (72 nucleotides) under Ornithorhynchus anatinus (platypus). It matches the Rfam family "tRNA". From Rfam's summary of the family: Transfer RNA (tRNA) molecules are approximately 80 nucleotides in length. Their secondary structure includes four short double-helical elements and three loops (D, anti-codon, and T loops). Further hydrogen bonds mediate the characteristic L-shaped molecular structure. tRNAs have two regions of fundamental functional importance: the anti-codon, which is responsible for specific mRNA codon recognition, and the 3' end, to which the tRNAs corresponding amino acid is attached (by aminoacyl-tRNA synthetases). tRNAs cope with the degeneracy of the genetic code in two manners: having more than one tRNA (with a specific anti-codon) for a particular amino acid; and 'wobble' base-pairing, i.e. permitting non-standard base-pairing at the 3rd anti-codon position. The record is from Rfam by way of RNAcentral. Lineage: Eukaryota; Metazoa; Chordata; Mammalia; Monotremata; Ornithorhynchidae.